RNAcentral lists this unclassified non-coding RNA (305 nucleotides) under rhizosphere metagenome. RNAcentral describes it as "partial ribosomal RNA internal transcribed spacer region". The record is from RNAcentral.
GUAGGUGAACCUGCGGAAGGAUCAUUUGAGUUCUUUUCUCCUUAUCUGGGGAUUCAAAUUCAUAAAAACAACAAAAGUCAACUGUGUGAAAGUGUCUUACAGGCGUGUGCGUUCCCACUGUUUUGCAAAAAACAGUGGGAGCGUGCUGCUGCUGCUGCCUCUCUCACUUGUUGUGUGGGGGGGUGGUUUGCUUUGCACUGUGUGCGAUGGAUAAAACACACUAUAAAGAAACAUGCCAAAAGUAUAAACAAUUCAAUAAAAUGAAACCAAAAUGAACAGUUUUAACGGUGGAUCUCUAGGCUCGC